Hyla sarda is the source of this 240-nucleotide long non-coding RNA. RefSeq lists it as uncharacterized. The transcript has 3 exons. The record is from RefSeq and is a predicted model, not a curated record. Lineage: Eukaryota; Metazoa; Chordata; Amphibia; Anura; Hylidae.
CUCUGCACAGGUUUUGAUAAAUCUCCCCCACUGUGUUGUAAUGGGCAGCACUAGAAAGCAGCCAAGAAUUUUAUCAGAUGGGUCCAAAUUGUUCAAUGGGUGCAGAAAUCACGGAUCGCUGUUGCAGUAGGGUUGAUACACUGUAACAAGCCCUGCACCUGUGUCACAUGGGAGAUAAGAAUAUGGUCCAGCCUGAAGAAAGAAAACAGACCUCAGGAAGAGAUCUGCUCCCUAUAAAUA